AACGAACGCUGGCGGCAGGCUUAACACAUGCAAGUCGAACGCCCCGCCAGGGGAGUGGCAGAAGGGUGAGUAACGCGUGGGAACAUACCCUUUUCUACGGAAUAGCUCUGGGAAACUGGAAUUAAUACCGUAUACGCCCUACGGGGGAAAGAUUUAUCGGGGAAGGAUUGGCCCGCGUUGGAUUAGCUAGUUGGUGGGGUAAAGGCCUACCAAGGCGACGAUCCAUAGCUGGUCUGAGAGGAUGAUCAGCCACAUUGGGACUGAGACACGGCCCAAACUCCUACGGGAGGCAGCAGUGGGGAAUAUUGGACAAUGGGCGCAAGCCUGAUCCAGCCAUGCCGCGUGAGUGAUGAAGGCCUUAGGGUUGUAAAGCUCUUUCACCGAUGAAGAUAAUGACGGUAGUCGGAGAAGAAGCCCCGGCUAACUUCGUG
RNAcentral lists this ribosomal RNA (431 nucleotides) under uncultured bacterium. RNAcentral describes it as "partial 16S ribosomal RNA". It matches the Rfam family "Bacterial small subunit ribosomal RNA", at positions 29 to 507 of the family's 1533-position model. The record is from RNAcentral.